This 462-nucleotide ribosomal RNA is filed under the name uncultured bacterium. RNAcentral's name for it is "bacterial SSU rRNA". It matches the Rfam family "Bacterial small subunit ribosomal RNA", at positions 337 to 791 of the family's 1533-position model. The record is from RNAcentral.
UCCUACGGGAGGCAGCAGUGGGGAAUUUUGGACAAUGGGGGAAACCCUGAUCCAGCCAUCCCGCGUGUGCGAUGAAGGCCUUCGGGUUGUAAAGCACUUUUGGCAGGAAAGAAACGUCAUGGGUUAAUACCCCGUGAAACUGACGGUACCUGCAGAAUAAGCACCGGCUAACUACGUGCCAGCAGCCGCGGUAAUACGUAGGGUGCAAGCGUUAAUCGGAAUUACUGGGCGUAAAGCGUGCGCAGGCGGUUCGGAAAGAAAGAUGUGAAAUCCCAGAGCUUAACUUUGGAACUGCAUUUUUAACUACCGGGCUAGAGUGUGUCAGAGGGAGGUGGAAUUCCGCGUGUAGCAGUGAAAUGCGUAGAUAUGCGGAGGAACACCGAUGGCGAAGGCAGCCUCCUGGGAUAACACUGACGCUCAUGCACGAAAGCGUGGGGAGCAAACAGGAUUAAACCCCCUGGG